ACGCUCGACACCUACGGGAGGCAGCAGUGGGGAAUAUUGGGCAAUGGGCGCAAGCCUGACCCAGCAAUGCCGCGUGAAGGAAGAAGGCUUUCGGGUUGUAAACUUCUUUUGUCAGGGAAGAGUAGAAGACGGUACCUGACGAAUAAGCCACGGCUAACUACGUGCCAGCAGGACCGGUAAUCUGAGCGGGCUGGCAAGGC
RNAcentral lists this ribosomal RNA (200 nucleotides) under uncultured bacterium. Its description in RNAcentral is "partial 16S ribosomal RNA". It matches the Rfam family "Bacterial small subunit ribosomal RNA", at positions 328 to 539 of the family's 1533-position model. The record is from RNAcentral.